Molecule: ribosomal RNA, 392 nt
Filed under: uncultured bacterium
Lineage: Bacteria
Description: partial 16S ribosomal RNA
Rfam family: Bacterial small subunit ribosomal RNA
Source: RNAcentral
AUACGGAGGAUCCGAGCGUUAUCCGGAUUUAUUGGGUUUAAAGGGUGCGCAGGCGGCCAUUUAAGUCAGCGGUUAAAUCGUGGGGCUCAACCCCAUUCUGCCGUUGAUACUGGGUGGCUUGAUUGCGGUCGAGGUUGGCGGAAUUCGUUGUGUAGCGGUGAAAUGCAUAGAUAUGACGAAGAACACCGAUUGCGUAGGCAGCUGACCAGACCGCAAAUGACGCUCAUGCACGAAAGUGCGGGGAUCGAACAGGAUUAGAUACCCUGGUAGUCCGCACAGUAAACGAUGAAUACUUGUUUUCGGCGAUAUAAUGUCGGAGGCAAAGCGAAAGCGAUAAGUAUUCCACCUGGGGAGUACGCCGUCAACGGUGAAACUCAAAUGAAUUGACGGGG